RNAcentral lists this ribosomal RNA (1948 nucleotides) under human gut metagenome. Its description in RNAcentral is "bacterial LSU rRNA". It matches the Rfam family "Bacterial large subunit ribosomal RNA", at positions 831 to 2822 of the family's 2925-position model. The record is from RNAcentral.
AAUCGAACUCGGAGAUAGCUGGUUCUCCUCGAAAUAGCUUUAGGGCUAGCCUUGAGGUAAAAGAAUUAUGGGGGUAGAGCACUGAAUGAGGUAGGGGCCAAACCAGGUUACUGAACUCUAUCAAACUGCGAAUACCAUAAUUAGAAUACUCAGGAGUCAGACUGCGGGAGCUAAGUUCCGUGGUCAAAAGGGAAAGAGCCCAGACCGACAAUUAAGGUCCCAAAGAUAUAGUUAAGUGGAAAACGAUGUGAAUUUGCAUAAACAACCAGGAUGUUGGCUCAGAAGCAGCCACUCAUUCAAAGAGUGCGUAACAGCUCACUGGUCGAGUGAAUUUGCGCGGAAAAUUACCGGGGCUAAACUAUACACCGAAAUUUCGGAUUUACGUAUGAAAAUAUGUAAGUGGUAGAGGAGCAUUCUGUAGUAGGACGAAGUCAAAGCGAAAGCAUUGGUGGACGAGGCAGAAGAGAGAAUGCUGGAAUAAGUAGCGAGAGCAAGGUGAGAAUCCUUGCCGUCGAAAGUCUAAGGUUUCCUGGGGAAGGUUCGUCCGCCCAGGGUAAGUCGGGGCCUAAGGAGAGGCCGAAAGGCGUAUCUGAUGGAUAGCAGGUAGAGAUUCCUGCACUAUAGCUAGUUUUAAAAGAUGCAAGGGACGCAGUAGAGGAAGAUAACCAAGGAAGAGGAAAGACUUGGUCCGCAAGGGAUAGUGAAAAUUAAUAGUAACGAAAUAUCAAGAAUCACACUGACGAGAAAAGCUUGUAGAUAUUAACUAGAAAUACCCGUACCGCAAACCGACACAGGUAGAUGAGGAGAGGAUCCUAAGACGAGCGGGAGAAGCAUUGUUAAGGAACUCGGCAAAAUAACCCCGUAACUUCGGGAGAAGGGGAACCUAAGUAAAAUUAGGUCGCAGAGAAAAGGCCCAAGCAACUGUUUAACAAAAACACAGGUUUCUGCAAAAUCGAAAGAUGAAGUAUAGGAGCUGACGCCUGCCCAGUGCUGGAAGGUUAAGGGAAAGAGUUAGAUGUAAGUCGAAGCUUAGAACUAAAGCCCCAGUGAACGGCGGCCGUAACUAUAACGGUCCUAAGGUAGCGAAAUUCCUUGUCAGGUAAGUUCUGACCCGCACGAAAGGCGUAAUGAUUUGGGCACUGUCUCGACAAUGUACCCGGCGAAAUUGUAGUACUAGUGAAGAUGCUAGUUACCUGCGACAAGACAGAAAGACCCCAUGGAGCUUUACUGCAGUUUGAUACUGGGUUUCGAUAAGUUAUGUACAGGAUAGGUGGGAGACAAAGAAAGAAAGGCGUCAGCUUUUCCGGAGUCACCGUUGGGAUACCACCCUUAAUUUGUUGGAAUUCUAACUAGUGGUCAUGAUCUGGCCAGAGGACAAUGUCAGACGGGCAGUUUGACUGGGGCGGUCGCCUCCAAAAGAGUAACGGAGGCGCCCAAAGGUUCCCUCAGUGCGGACAGAAAUCGCACGAAAGAGUGUAAAGGCAGAAGGGAGCUUAACUGGAAGAUAGACAUAUCGAGCAGAUACGAAAGUAGGGCUUAGUGAUCCGGUGGAUAUUGAAUGGAAAAGCCAUCGCUCAACGGACAAAAGUUACCCUGGGGAUAACAGGCUUAUCUCCCCCAAGAGUUCACAUCGACGGGGAGGUUUGGCACCUCGAUGUCGGCUCAUCGCAUCCUGGAGCGGAAGUACGUUCCAAGGGUUGGGCUGUUCGCCCAUUAAAGCGGUACGCGAGCUGGGUUCAGAACGUCGUGAGACAGUUCGGUCCUUAUCUGUCGCAGGCGGAAGAUAUUUGAGAGGAGCUGUCCUUAGUACGAGAGGACCAGGAUGGACAUACCGAUGGUGUAUCAGUUGUCACACCAGUGGCACGGCUGAGUAGCCAAGUAUGGACGGGAUAAACGCUGAAAGCAUCUAAGUGUGAAGCCCACCUCAAGAUAAGAUAUCUCAUAUCGU